This 962-nucleotide long non-coding RNA is filed under the name Ananas comosus (pineapple). RNAcentral describes it as "long non-coding RNA (ACOM_LNC042038)". The record is from RNAcentral. Lineage: Eukaryota; Viridiplantae; Streptophyta; Magnoliopsida; Poales; Bromeliaceae.
AUGCAACUUGCGCGUACAAACCUCCACGUCCGAUCUCACGCGAUUCGGUACAUAAAAUGUCGCAACUUUUGCGAAAUUACCGUUUUGCCAUCACCGACCUCUCCUCGAUCAACGUGCGAUCUCCGUAGAUCCGUCCGUCAGAUUUGCGAACGGAUUGUACCAGUGCGAUCAGCACUUCGGAGACAACAAAGCUACCAUUUUGGUUCACCUCGAACGGUCACGGAUUCGCGACGAAAUCCAAUCUCUCUCCAUAAGGCCAAAAUGACGCACAAUUACAUAUAAAACGCGUAUUUUUAGAUUUUCUCAAUCCGUGCAUCAAACUCAAAAUCCGUCAGCGCCAGUAGUUCCAGAAUAGCUGAAUCCUUCGAAAUGAGCUAUUGGACUGCUAUGAACGGAGCCCGAUACGCACCAGAAGCCAACUCUACUCCGUGGCCUCUUCGGAAAACCGGAGUUACUAUUUACUUAAGUGAAAACUAAUAAUCGCGUAACUUCUCCGUUUAAGCUCAUUUUCUCCUGAAACUUGACAAGUGCUUAUGUAAUUAAAUUACACACAUAAACAUCGUCAACAGAGAGUUUAGUUGCACAGUCAAAAAUCUCAGUCCUUACAAUUAUUUGCGCGUAGUAUACUAUAUUAUUCGUAAUUUAGUAUAAAAAUUUGUGCAACAUUAUAUAAAUUGUGCAAACAUUGUACUGUUUACACAAAUACUACACUAUUUGGAAGAAAUAUUGCACAAUUUGGAACAAUGUUGCACCAUUUAAGAUGUAUUUCAUUCUUUCUUUUUUACUUUUAUUAUUUGAAGUUUUUUAUUUGUAUGUUAAUAAGAAUUUCAUUUUUCAAGAAAAAGGUAACUGUAAUAAUGACUUGUCAGCUGCAUUUUUUAAGAUAAUUAAUGCAUGUACUUCUUAUGCAUUUUGAAAGAGGGGUAGUUUGGUCAUCUUUUUGAAAAAGCGGACCGAAUCUG